ACUUAUUGAAUUUCUUAAGUUCAUGUUUCUAAUACUUAGUGCUUUGAUAAUCCUUUAUCAAUGCUUCUUGAACUUAUACACCUUUGCCUUCGAUAGUUCAUAUGUGUGUCUAAACAAUUAAGACUAAUUGCCAAACCUCACAAUUCAAAUUAUGGAAAGGGAUGCCGUAACCAUAAUUGAAUUCGAGAAUGCAAUUUUACAAUCACUAUCUUCUUAAAAUCUUUCUUAGUGAAAGCAUUUCCUCACAAUCAUUUUCAUGAAGGAGGAAAUCUUAUGACACUUAGAUUUAAACGGUGUAUGUGUUCCUAUCCAUGUGAAUUUGUUAAAACCAAAGUUUACGACAAAUUCAAACUCAUAUGGACCGAACUUUCUUAAUCUUGAUUUCUUGCCUUAUGGUAGCACAGCUGCCCACCAUGUCUUCCAAGUAGUUAAGCAGCUCACCCUUUCCUAUCAAUGUACCUUUCAUUGAUUAAGGUGCUUUGCCUUUUAUGCGUUCAAAAUGAGAACUCAUAGAACUCACAUGCAUAAUUAACUCGAUUGGAUUGGCACAGAAUCAAAAUAAUGUCAACACGAUAGGUUGUAAACCUCAACUCGUGUGCUAGUGAUGAUCGAUAAGGUUUAUUUGAUUUGUUCUUGAAACCUUUCAAGACCAUUAAGACUCCCACUGACUCCUUGACAUAUAAGAUUCUCUUGUCAAUAACCAUUUCUUGACAAACAAAUAUUCAAGAGUUAGUGUAGCUUUUAUCAAAACACUUCAUAAAUUGGUCCUAGUUGGUCUUUGUCUUAUCCAAGACAUCACAACUUUCCACAUUUAAUGAAAGUUAUAAACCUUCUUAAUACCUUUCACUCAAUGUCACAAUCUUAACUUUAAGACUUGUUAUUGGAACGAAGUAUGAUUGACUUAUUGAUUUAACCAUUUCUUCAAUUCUUGAUUCCUCUUCUUAGACAUACAAUUGUACUAAGACUCACUUAGAGGAUCAAUUGAGAUAUGGUUCUUAAUCAUUAAGACCUAUCAUAAAGCAUAAAAGGUACUCUCCCUUCUUCUUAGAAUGGAGAAACUUUUAUCUUUCUGCCUACUUGAUUCUUCUUAUUCGUUCUGCUAUUGAUUUAAACCUUUUCAAUCAAUUCAGAAUUACACUUAAUCUUAUAAGUAUAAUCAUAUUUACUAAACCUUUAGUAAAUCAUGACGAAUAUCUUUGUUACUCUUAUGGUGGACUUGAUCAACACGCAACUUUGUGUACUCGAUCUCCUAGUCCUUCACUUGACACUUUGUCAAUGAAUUAGUCUAAUUUCCAAAUAUGAAAUUUCUCAUUCAUCGUGCAACCAAGUUGCAUGAUUCCAAGUUUCUGUCCAAUUGAAACUUGGGCGAUGAGAAACUCUCCCUAUUUGGUAAAUUCUCGACUUUCCAUAAAUAACAUAAUAAGAACCAAAUCCAUUAUUGCUAAUAAUAGAAACAUUUUAACAUCAAUUUUUCAUACACGCCAUUGUAAGGAUAAAUAAAUAAAAUUUAAAAUCAAAAUUUAUUUUAUUGCGGAAAAAUUUGUCCUUACAAUGCAACUCAUUGAAAAACUUAUGCUAAUACAUCUUUCUUAGCAAUCUAAUUCUAACUCUAAGUAGUAGCUCAAGAAUCUAAUCUUCGAGAAAUGCGAUCGAAAUCCAUUCCUUCACGGUUAGAUUCUGCUCACUUCUUCCCUUAAGCUUCCUUUCUUUUCUUCGAUCCUACAAAACAUCAAUUGUAAUCUUAUCACAUUAUGUAUUAAGAAUCUAGAAUAGAAGCUUAAAAGAGUUAGUUAAUGGAUUUUACCUAUAUUAGAGCCAUACGUUUCGACUCUCCCAUCUCUUAGAUCUCUUAGGUAAAUGGGGCAGCUUCGUCUCCAAUGCCCUUUCUCUUGGCAAUAAAAGCAAAUUGACUCUUUUGGAACAUGACAUGGAACUACUUCAGACAUUGCCUUUCUCUUAUGAUCAAACUUUUCGAUCAUAGCAUGUCUUUCGUUGCCAUUGUCUAUAUCCAUAGAGGUCUUGAAGGCAGAUUCACCAAUCAACUUUGCUUUUCUAUUGCGCCAAACCAUUGCUGAUUCAGCAGCAAUAAGCAUAUAGGUGAGAUCUAUAAGGGUCACGUCGCGGUUCAUCAUAUAGUACUCUCUUACGAACUCACUAUAUGAGUUAGGAAGUGACUGAAGAACCCAAUCAACAGCCAUUUCCUCACAGACAACGGAUCCCAACAUUCUUAACCUAUCAAUGUGUGACUUCAUCCCUAGGACGUGUGCACACACCGACUUUCCUUCUUUAUGUUUACUUGCCAAAAGGGCUUGAGUGAUCUUGAACUUUUCAAGCCUUUGAACUUGUGGGUUAGGGAGAAUAAUUGGAGGAGGUGGAGGAAGUGAAGCAUGAUUUCUUGUUCCUCGAUCGAAUCGUGGAAUAUCAUCUUCAUGUGGAAUGCUUGUUCCACGGGAUUUGGGAAGACCAUAGUUGUCGAACUUUGACAUCUACAAAACGGGAGAAAACGAAUUCAAGUUAGUUGAUUGAUUGAGUCCUUAGUAAAUCACCCAAAUGAGAUACUAAGGCUAGGACCCAACACAAUAUUCUACAACUCGGGAGAGGGAUGCCGUAACCCUAAUUGCAGAACAUUUGAAGGUAAGUGAAUGACGAUUCACUAAUUUCCACCAUGAAAAACGAAAAAGAAAUUUAAGUUUUAAAUCUAUGAAAACUCCUAGAUCCUUUGAGAUUCAUUGAACAUUUCAAUGGCAUGUUUAAAUCUCGAUAUGCCCCUCUUGUUUGUGACUGGGAUGCCGAGGAUCACAAAGCGGGUGUGAAUAACCAUGCAAACUUACAUGGUGCCCUCACAUGUUACAGUCACCUAUUCGAUGUGCCGGUAAACCACACACGCUCCACCGAACUAUGACAAACAUUGAGUCACCCUUUGCUACCUUUGCUUAGAACCAUUUAGUGUGCCGGUAAACCACACACGCUCCACUAACGUCUUCGCAAGGGCACAAAGUGUAAUUUCAUGGAAUUGCAUCAAUUCACUUUUGCCUAAGUAACUAAGAUUGGGAAUUUUAUGAAAACAUUUAGUUACUUUUAUACUUCAUUAUACUUAUAAUGGAAGGUUUCGUCCUAUCCUACCCGUUCGGCUAACGACCCUCCACUAGUCAAGAGUGCGGUGGGUAAGAGUGGAUACCCAUUCAAUCGCCAUUUUAUAGGCAAUUUCCUUAAACACCCCUUAUAGACCAGCUUCGUGAAUGAGGCCUACUAACGGUAAGACUGACUUUUACUCAUACAUAUAUAUAAUGUUAGACUUUUAAUGUUAUAUAUAGUAUAGGGUGUAUUUUACACUUUUAAAAUACUAGGUGGUCAAAUUUAACAAUUAUACUUUUAAUUCAAUUAAAUUGUAAACCUAAACUUUUAUGGAUUUAUUAAACCUCUUUUAAUUAUACACCUUAAUUAAUUAAUAAAACCAUAAGGGUGUGAUUUGAACUUUUUCAAAACUAUACUAGAGUUUUAGAAUUUAACAUUCCUAAUUAAACUUUUAAUCAACUUUUAAAUUCCAAAACUUGAGGGCAAGUUUUGAAACAUUUCAACACAUUAGGGUUUAGAAUUUAAAUAUACAUCAAAAUUAAACUAUUUAAUCAAAAUUUAAAUUCCAAAACUUGAGGGCAAGUUUUGAAACCUUUUUCAAAACAUUAGGGUUUCAACUAUUUAAAUUUCAAAACAACAAAACUUUUGGGUUCAAAUUUAAACUAUAAAACCUAAAGGGGAAAAUAUGAAACUUUUCAUAACAACAAGGAUCAAAUAACAAAUAAUUUAAAUUAACAUUUAAUCACAUAAUUAUCCAUAUUUGAUUUAUUUAAUGAUUUCUUGCAAAACAAUUUAUCAAUUUAGUCAAAAUAAUUAAUCAAUUAUCACAUAAGGAAACAAUUAUCUUAUUAAUUGAUAAAUAUCUUCAAUUAGAUCAAAAAUAUAGUCAAAUAUAUCAUAUAAUCGGAUUAAUAUUGAUCUAACAUGAUAAGGUAACUAUCCCAAAGCAAAAACAGCAAGAAAUCCCGAGAUAAGCUCCAUCUGACGAGUUGACUCGUCGAGUCAAGCCUGGACUCGUCGAGUCACCUUGGACUCGGCGAGUUCAGCUAUGGACUCGGCGAGUCCAGCCUCCAGAAACCCAAAAAACGAAUUUUCCAGUUAUACAAUGCAUCAAUACAAUUGAAACCAAGCUAGGCUCUGAUACCACUGAUGGGUUUUGGUCAUAAGACAUCCUAUGUGCUCAUACAAACCCUAAUGCUUGGAUCUAGGUUUCUCUAUUGUACAUGCUUUGAAUCCAAGACUAUAAACCCUAAUUCUAGCAUAUGGAAAUCAAUAUUAACAUAUAAUUAGGUUUAAGAUAUUACCUUGAUUGUUAUGUAGCAAUAACAAUCCCAAUUCCUCCUUGAAUUGACUUUGGAAGGCUUAGAGUCACAAGUGUCACUCCUCUAAUGGCUUACAAACACCAUAAGCAAGAGGAGAAGGUAUAAAGAGAGAGGAGAGAGGUAGGAAUUCGUCCUUAGGACUUCUUGGGAAGGCUUAGACGAAUUCAUGAGCCUUAGGGGGUUUAUAUAGGUGUAAAGAUUAGGGUUUUAGUCCUUAUCCUUAUCUAGUUGCUUGCCCACCAAGCAACCAUAAGAUAAGUCUUAGAAACCCUUAUCCUAGUCGAAUUCUAAGGCAUUAUCUCCUUAAAUUCGUUCACCCUAUAUUUAAGAUAAUCCUUACCUUAUUUUGUAACUAUCACAUAAUUACAAUUCAGCCCCUCUAGUUUAAUUAAUUACACUUGAUCACAAAAUUAAUUCUUAAUUAAUUAUUGACCAAUAUUAAUUAAACAAAUAUGAUUUCUCCUUUAAUAUAUUAUUCUUAUAACAUAUUAAUAAAUCAUAAUAACCUCUCUCUCUAUUUAUUUCUCCAAUCAAGUUGCUUUGGUGAAGGCAACCCAAAAGGACCAUGCACCAUCGGGUCAAGUACAUACCAAAAUAGUUAUGGACUUAGACACUAAUCCAACAGUCUCCCACUUGGAUAAGUCUAAUAACUAUUCUGCGUAUGACUUCAGAUCCUGAUCUGCAAUCGUAGCUUUCCAAAGCCGCUGUCAACUCUGAUCCUAUCAGAUACGCGUGUCCUUAGAUAAGGGAUCAUAUAUUCCUCCAUUCUAGAUAUCAUAUGAGAUAUGAUUUCAAAUCAUUCUCUUUGUACUAUAUCUCGAUUCCCGAUUUAUGACGACUGACUAAUUGAACAAAUCAAAUUAGCCCUAGCCCGGCCGAGCAUUUACGUUUGUCAUCACUAAAUCAUCGAGGGGCCCAAAGAUAUCGCUUUUAUCCUACUUUGGAUAAAAGGAACGGAUAAACUUUGAUACAAUGCUUGCUUGCACUCACUCACCGAAUCACACACAACAAUAUGUUUUAUAACACCAAGUUACUAGUGCGUUUACAUAUUAUCAAUGUGCAACCGAUUUGCAAGAUACAACUCACACAUCUCGGUUUCAAGAAUAUAAGAUGUUAUCGUCUCACCAAUCACUCGUGAUACAAUUCAUGGAGUGAUCCAAGUGAGCGUGGGUUUAAUCCAAUGCUCAAAUCAUAUUCAUAAGCACUCAUGAACGUUGCAGCAAACAUUUGCUUAUGUCUAAUACUCUUUUAGACAAUCCACACACCAAUUCACGACAGUCUUCAUUCAUAUCUACUUCCAACAUAUGAACGACUGUGGCCCGUUCGAAUAAUUCGAUUAUUCUUAAUAAACUCAAUUAUUCUGGAAGUCAAAACAUGCAAAUGUGAAACACAAGAAUAAUACUAAUCCCAUAUGGCCUCAAACCUUUGAGUAUAAAUAAAACACCUUUUAUUUAUCACCAUAUCGAUUACUCAUUAUUUGUCGUUUCGGGUAAUCAACUUCUUACUUGAAUUAUUACACUUGUCCCAUGCUCCUAGCAUGCACACAAUGUUUACCUAUGGUUCUUACUUUGUGAAAUAGAUCAAAUUGAACACAUUUCCAAUCAUUCUCAUUUCACAACUCCAAAUCCUUUUCCAUAAGUGAAAGAAUAUCAAAUUCUUGCUACUUAUAGAAUAUGCUAGAUUCUAACAUUCUAUGCAACUAUCCUUUCGUAAUGUCACUGCACCAAAGUCACAAAGACUAUUGCCAAUGAUAUUACAAAGUCCUCUAUCGGAGAUUGUUACAAGACAAUUCCAUAGAUGUGAUGUCUCUCACUCAAAGUACAUUCUUUGAACAUCCUUUUGCAUAGAAGUUUCUAAUCUAGUCAUAGAUUUCUCAAUAUUCAAUUCCCAAUAUGGACACACUUCCAUAUGUUCCAUAUGACAACUCAUUCUUAAUAGAAUCUUAUCUAUUCGUAAUGAUGUCGAUAUGGUCCAUCCAAUAUGGAAACAUUUCCAUAUUUUCCAAUACUAUACUUCCAACUACUCACAAGCGACCAAUCCUCGUCGAACUUUGGAUUGUCCUUUGAUAGUUGUUUAAUUAUUUUAGUCAAAACCGAUUCUAGUCCUUUUUCCCUCUAAAUGCGCUAGACAUUUGGAAAAUUUUAGAAUGGUCAAACAUUAAAGCAUUUGCAAUCGAUCCUAUACCCGAAGCGUAUGGGACACGACGCAUAAUGUUUUAUUUGCUAUGUUCUCAAAAUUCGAAUUGUGAAGAGGGAUGCCGUAAUCAUAAUCGAAAUUUUAAGAACACACUAUGUACCUUUGACUAAAUUUAUUAACAUUUCUCAACCUAAUCCUUUAGAUUUGAAAUGAAGCAUAAUAUUCUCUCCCUUAAUUAUAGCAAAACAACCUUUCAACUCUUACAACUUUGCAAAGUAUGACUCUUGUUUUCUAUAAUUAAUAUUGCUAACCUUGCAAUACUUUCCUUAAUAAUCAUACAAUCAUAACAUUUAUGCUCCCACUAUCAUGAUGAUUAUUAUAAAACAUAACACUUAUGCUCCCACUAGCUUCGACAUGUAUUCAUAAACAUCUUAACUUUCAGAAAAACAAUGCUUAUUGAAUUUCUUAAGUUCAUGUUUCUAAUACUUAGUGCUUUGAUAAUCUUUUAUCAAGGCUUCUUGAACUUAUACACAUUUGCCUUCGAUAGUUCAUAUGUGUGUCUAAACAAUUAAGACUAAUUGCCAAACCUCACAAUUCAAAUUAUGGAAAGGGAUGCCGUAACCAUAAUUGAAUUCGAGAAUGCAAUUUUACAAUCACUAUCUUCUUAAAAUCUUUCUUAGUGAAAGCAUUUCCUCACAAUCAUUUUCAUGAAGGAG
RNAcentral lists this long non-coding RNA (7249 nucleotides) under Lactuca sativa (garden lettuce). Its description in RNAcentral is "long non-coding RNA (LSAT_LNC000037)". Lineage: Eukaryota; Viridiplantae; Streptophyta; Magnoliopsida; Asterales; Asteraceae. The record is from RNAcentral.